Molecule: long non-coding RNA, 5041 nt
Filed under: Sus scrofa (pig)
Lineage: Eukaryota; Metazoa; Chordata; Mammalia; Artiodactyla; Suidae
Description: lncRNA (ENSSSCG00000063494.1)
Source: RNAcentral
UUUAUAUCACCAACUAGAGUCAGAGAUUCUAUCAGUAUCACAAUGACAGGGGAAUUAACACUGUGCAACAUUACCUACCAACAAAUUACUCUAUUUGGAUAAAUAUAUCUCUUAAUUAACAUGAGAAAUUAAACACAAAACAAACUGAGGGCCCUACUUUCACUUUCAUAAGUAUGUAUUCUUAUUUUUCUCUUGAUUGAUGAAAUAUAUCUUUGAGUAUUUUUUUUUCGUUUUUUUCGAAAAAGAAUAUACUUCUUCAGAAUAUGUAUACCCAAGAAUUCCUUCUAUUUCUUUUGAAAAUUAUAACAACUUGACUGAUAAGUAACAAAGAAAUGGCUUAAUGAUUAUGGGCCCUAAGGUGGGGUCCAUGUGUCUUUCCUCACAUCAUUUUUAAAAGACCAAGCUAGAACUACAGCAGUUAAGGACAUGGCCUUUGAAAGUGAGAAAUUCCAAGGCCACUGAAGAACAGCUGGAGAAAUGAGGUUAACUGCUUUGAAACUGUGGUGUUUACUUGAAUUUGCUUUCCCAUACUUCAUUAUACACUCUUCUUGGAGAGAUUUACAAGGCUAAAAAAGAUAUAUAACUUAGACUUCUUUGGAUAUUGUUUUCUGCAAGUGAAUUACCUGCAUUCAUAUGUAUUUAGGAGAUAGUAAUAGCUAGCAAGUAAGUACUGACAAGAGAAUUUUUGUUUCAGACAGGCUGAAUGUUCUACUCCCUCAUUACUAAUCAUCUGGGUAUAAGAUGAAUGUGGUAGUAGGUGUGGCAAUAGCAGGAUUUAGCUUUGUCUUUAUUGCAGCUGUGGUAUUGUGUUACACAAAGCCCAACAGCAACUUCCUUAACAAUGCUUCUGUCAAUACCUUAUUCCCUUAGGUAAACACCUAAUUCCCUGUAAACAUCCAGUUCCCUGUAUUAAGUCUCUUUCUGCUUGGUUUCAUUUUCUUGAACAAAAAACCUUAACUGAUACAAUGAUUAUAAUAGAGAACUGCAGGUCUAAUAAGGUGGUAAAUCAAUUGAAACCAUAAGCUAGAGGUCUUGCUUAUGACCAUCAAGUUGGAAAGUUACUGUGAAAGAGUCAUGUUUUUGCUAAGGAUGUUCCAAAGAAAGACAACUUAGGUAGUAAAUCCUAUGGAAAAGGAUUCCUGUUAGGGAAUAGUGUUUAAAAAUUCACUGGUAGAUUUUGAUGUAGGUAGGGAGAGGGAAGUUUCCAUGGGCUAGUUCUUAGUAUUUUAUGAUAGCACCUCCUUGUGUGAAAUGGCACUUCAGAGAUUAUAAAGUGGAAUGACCUGAGAAUUGUUCAGCUAGUCUUACAGACAAAUUGAGCUAAAUAGGAUAAAUAUUAUCUAUUUUUUAGGUACAAAAAAUGAGUUUCAAACAGACUUUCAUAAUUCAUAACUAAUAGAAUUUGUAUAAAACUCUGUUUUUUGGUUUUUAGUAUAUUUUAUCCAGUACAAUACAACCUCUCUGCAUAAUAAUACUCUACACAACAAAAUUGUUUAAAAAUGUGAUUUGAACUCAUAGAUGAAAUAUUAAGAUAUUAUACAGAAAUUAGAAAAAAUAUAAAAACUUUUGUGUCCUAUAUGCAAAUAAAUAAUAAACACAAUACACUUAUCAUUGACCUCCCAACACAGUAACUAAAACUUGCAACAGCAGGCCUAACAGUAACCUCAUUUUCUGUGUCUAAUAGUUUCCUGAAGUCCAUAUAUUAUUUAAUUUUUGUCUUCUAAAGAUACUUAAUACUUAAGUCUUAUUGCCAUUACCCAUUUUUUCCCACUCUUGGUGGUCAUCUCUCUCUAUUACACAUCCAUUUAAUAAAUAUUCAGUUAUUGAAAUUUUAUAAUACUGAGUAUCAUGCAAUAUUAGGCUGAAGAACUUAAAGCACCAGAUGGUAACAUGCACAGAAAAAAAGUCAUAUGUUUUACGAUAUAUAUUAGCACAAAUGUGUUCUUCAAGAUGAGCAACAGAAUAGAAGCAAAAGACAUAUAGAUGUGCAACCCAUAUUAGCACAGGCUAUCUAGUAUGGUCAACCCAGCCUAAAUGCUUUUGAUUCCAAAGUUUUAAGUGACCUGCAGUUCACAUUUGUUAAAUCCAAAAAUUAUUGUAAUUUACUAAAAUGUAACUAAAGUCCAUAUAUUAUACUUCUAUUAAAGGAAAUUUGCUGUGGAGAUUACUACAUUUUAUAUUUAGAAUCAUUAACAUUAAUAUCACUGAACAGUUUUGCUCCCAUGUAGUGAGCAUCAAAUAUGUGCCAGAAAUGUUAUGUGCUUCACAUAAAUUUUCAAAUUCAUACUUCUUAGUAAUCUUAUACAAUAUAAAAAUUCACAUUUGUAGAUAAACAUCUCAGCAAGUUUAAGAAAUGUUCUUAAGAGCACAUGCCUAAUAAGUGAUAGUGCAAAAUUUAAAAUUGAAAACUCUGUUCAUGUGUGACUAACCCAAACAAACUCUAUAGGCUCACAAUGGAAGAAAUCGUUAUACAUUACAUUGAACUAGGUCAUCUCUAAUCUAAAAUCUCUCAGCAAAAAUUUCCUGAAUUUCUCCUAUGUUCAAGCCUUCUAGAAUAGCUAUGCUUUGAAGGAUGAAAUAAGUGAAUUAAACACAAAUCCUGCUAUAAAGAUGCUGAAGUUGGCAGGCAGGUAAGAUCCACACUAACAGUGAUACAAGGGAAGUAAUGUGAGCUCUAAGAAACAAAGAAAUAUGAUUAUUUAGAAGUCCACAGAAGGAAUUACUUAGAUGAGUCAGGAAUGAUUAUGUGGAUGUGAUGGCAUAUGAACCAGGCCUAGAGAGAUGGAUGAAAUUUAAAGUCAUAUAAUAAUAACUGUUGGUGCGGAUGUGGGGAAUAGAAAACUUCUUCAUUACUUGGACAUGUAAAAUUGUUCAGCUGCUUUGGAAAAGAGUUAGGUAGUUCCUCAAGGAUUAAACAUACAGUUACUAUGUGAGCCAAUAAUUCUACUCCUAAGUAUAUACCCUAGAGAAAUGAACACACAUAUCUAUAUGGAUACUCAUAUGAAAGUUUUUACAGCAGCAUUAUUCUACUAGCCAAAAGGUAGAAAUGACCCAAAAGUCCAUCAGCAAACAAAGGGAUAAACAAAAUGUGGUCUAUCUAUACAAUGAAAUAUUAUUCUGCUGUAAAAGGAAAUAGAGUACUUAUACAAGCAACAACACAGAUAAAUAUUGAAAAUAUUGUGCUUAUGUGAAAGAAGCCACUCACAAAAGUUACACAUAUUAUACAAUUCCGUUCACAUGAAAGUCCAUAACAAGGAAAUCUAUAUUGAUAGCAGUUGCUUAGAGCUGGGGAGGGAGGUAAGUAGAUAAGCGUACAAUAGCUAAAGAGUUUGGGUUUUCUUCUUGAAGUGAUGCAAUAGAGGGAAAAUAUUUUCCAACAUAAGAAAGAGCAUAAGACCAUAAAAAAUAGCAGUUUUGUUUUUGCAUUGCUCUAUUGCUGCUACUUUUUGUAUGAUGUUGUUUUAACAACAUAGUGUUCAUAAAAACAAUGUUACUCUCCAAAAACUGACAUUUUUUUCUUACUUGUAUUAUUAGAGCAUAACCAAAUUUAAAAUGAACAUAAAUUUGCCACUUAUACCUUCCCUUCCAUGGGAAAUUAUAGUACUCUCUUGAAUGUUCGUUUUCUUUCGUUUUGAUUUAUAAUUUGUGUUCUGGUAUGUAAGUUUUCUAUUGCCAUGUAACAGAUUACCAUAAAUUUAAAAGCUGAUAAUAGCCUCUUUGUAUUAUCUCACAGUUCUGUAGGUCAGAAGUCUAGGCAGACAUAGUAGGGUUCUCUCCCUCAGUGUUUCACAAGGCCAAAAUCAGGCUAUCAGCCAAGCUGGAUGUUUAUCUGGAUGCUCUAGGAAAGAAUCCACUUCUAAGCUAAUUCAGGUCAUUGGCAAAAUUCAGUUCCUUGAUGUUGUAGGACUGAAGUUCCCAUUUCUUUGCUGGGUGUUGAUGGGGAGUUACUCUCAGCAACUAGAGGCCACACUUUAGUACAUGCACAUGGUUCCUUCCAUUUUCAAGGCUAGUAAUACAACAGCAUAUCUAACAUUCUUAUUGUGCUUUGACUAUCUCUGACUUUCCUUCUGCUGCAAGGAAAAGGAUCUCCUCUUUGAUUAAUUCAAAGUCAACUGAUUAGUAACUUUAAUACAUUUGAAGAAUCCCCUUUUCAAGUAAAGUAACCUAAUCAGUAUAUGCUGUGUCAUCAUAUUCACAAUCCCAGGCAUUAGAGUAGGAAGUCUUGCUGGUCCGUUUGUGAUUUUAUUUAUUAUACCUGGUUAAAAUGAAAUUUCUGUGGCCAAGUGAACUUUGGAAAUGCUGUCUAAGAAAUAAUAAGUAGGUUUCUUUUCUCUGUAGAGAAUCUCCACAUGCUUCAUCAGUUUAAGUAUAUCAUGAGUUUUUAAGAAGGGACUAUUCUGUGCUGGUAUUUUUCAAAUUGUGAACCAUGGUUUAUUAUAUCAAUUUAUUUCAUCAUGACCAUCAUUGUUCAUAAGAAAAUGAAACAAAAUACUAGAAUUACUCAUAAAAGUUUCAAGAUUUUUUUGUGAAUGAUUUUUCAUUCAAAAUGCAUUUAUUUAUUGCUUAUUGUGUGUCAGGAAGUGUUCUAAGAAGUUUACCGAUAUUAACACGUGUCAAUAGUAAUAUAGGCAUACCUCAGAGAUAUUGUAGAUUCUGUUAUAGACCACUGCAAUAAAGCUAAUACCACAAUUACUGCAAUAAAGCAAGUCACAUGAUAUUAUUGGUUUCCCAGUUCAUAUAAAAGUUAUAUUUACAAUAUAUUAUAGCCUGUUUAAUGUGAACAGCAUUAUGUCUAAAAACAUUAUAUCUAAAAUAUAUAUACCUUAAUUAAAAAAUGCUUUAUUGCUGGAGUUCCCAUCAUGGCUCAGUGGUUAACGAAUCCGACUAGGAACCAUGAGGUUGUGGGUUCGAUCCCUGGCCUUGCUAAGCGGGUUGAGGAUCUGGUGUUACUGUGGCUGGGGUGUAGGCCAGCAGCUAUAGCUCCGAUUUGACUCCUAGCCUGGGAACCUCCAUAUGCCGCAGAAGCGGCUCAAGAAAUGGC